Molecule: ribosomal RNA, 292 nt
Filed under: uncultured bacterium
Lineage: Bacteria
Description: partial 16S ribosomal RNA
Rfam family: Bacterial small subunit ribosomal RNA
Source: RNAcentral
GUGCCAGCAGCCGCGGUAAUACGUAGGGUGCGAGCGUUAAUCGGAAUUACUGGGCGUAAAGGGUGCGCAGGCGGUCCCGCAUGUCGGGCGUGAAAUCCCCGGGCUUAACCUGGGAAUGGCGUCCGAAACUAUGGGACUGGAGUGUGGCAGAGGGAGGUGGAAUUCCACGUGUAGCGGUGAAAUGCGUAGAGAUGUGGAGGAACACCGAUGGCGAAGGCAGCCUCCUGGGCCAACACUGACGCUCAUGCACGAAAGCGUGGGGAGCAAACAGGAUUAGAUACCCCUGUAGUCC